UACGUAGGGUGCAAGCGUUAAUCGGAAUUACUGGGCGUAAAGCGUGCGCAGGCGGUUAUGCAAGACAGAUGUGAAAUCCCCAGGCUCAACCUGGGAACUGCAUUUGUGACUGCAUGGCUAGAGUACGGUAGAGGGGGAUGGAAUUCCGCGUGUAGCAGUGAAAUGCGUAGAUAUGCGGAGGAACACCGAUGGCGAAGGCAAUCCCCUGGACCUGUACUGACGCUCAUGCACGAAAGCGUGGGGAGCAAACGGG
This 253-nucleotide ribosomal RNA is filed under the name uncultured bacterium. RNAcentral describes it as "partial 16S ribosomal RNA". It matches the Rfam family "Bacterial small subunit ribosomal RNA", at positions 524 to 776 of the family's 1533-position model. The record is from RNAcentral.